RNAcentral lists this ribosomal RNA (253 nucleotides) under uncultured bacterium. RNAcentral describes it as "partial 16S ribosomal RNA". It matches the Rfam family "Bacterial small subunit ribosomal RNA", at positions 524 to 776 of the family's 1533-position model. The record is from RNAcentral.
UACAGAGGUGGCGAGCGUUACUCGGAUUUAUUGGGUGUAAAGGGCAGGUAGGUGGCUAUGUAAGUUGGGGGUGAAAUCCUGCGGCUUAACCGCAGAACUGCCCUCAAAACUGCAUGGCUUGAGGCCAGCAGAGGAGAGCGGAAUUCCCGGUGUAAGGGUGAAAUCUGUAGAUAUCGGGAGGAACACCAGUGGCGAAGGCGGCUCUCUGGUCUGGUCCUGACACUGAGCUGCGAAAGCUUGGGUAGCAAACAGG